Molecule: ribosomal RNA, 200 nt
Filed under: uncultured bacterium
Lineage: Bacteria
Description: partial 16S ribosomal RNA
Rfam family: Bacterial small subunit ribosomal RNA
Source: RNAcentral
CGAUUACGGGAGGCAGCAGUGGGGAAUAUUGCGCAAUGGGGGGAACCCUGACGCAGCCAUGCCGCGUGAAUGAAGAAGGCCUUCGGGUUGUAAAGUUCUUUCGGUAUUGAGGAAGGGAUGUGUGCUAACAGUACACGUCAUUGACGUUAAAUACAGAAGAAGCACCGGCUAACUCCGUGCCAGCAGCCGCGGUAAUAUCG